UUUUUUUUUCUUGGCGAACUGGGGUUUGGAGAGUUUUAGUUUGUUACUCAGACUUUUUUUGUGUAGCUUUUCUUCUUUUUGUUUCACUUUAUAUAAAGGAGAUCUUCUCAGUAGACAGUAUAAAUUGUAAAAGUACUGAGAAUGACGAAGAAAUUCUGUGAUUAUGGUGGUGACAUUUCAGUGAACAUUCUUGCAGAUACAUAUGCGCAGGUGCCUAGAAAAGUAUUUGUGUGUGUCUCUCAUUUUACAUGAACUCUAGUCUCUAUUCCUUUCAAGUCAGCACAAUGUUACAAGCACUUUUCUGUUUCUGAAUGUAAGUGUUUAUCGUUCUAGUUAAUGACUGCACAGUGCCCCAUUCUGUGGGUAGAGAUCCGUAUAUGAGGAUAAACUACAAUCACCUUGGCCCGCUCACUUUCCCCUCAUGGAGAAGCCUCAAGUUUCUCUGGGAUCCUGAAGACAGAACCUUCCCUGAACUGGGCUUUUAUUUGAGCAGACGUCCUCCAGAGAGCACAGACUGACUGGGCCACAGCUGUCCAUGGGAAUAUGGAGAAUCAUAGAAAUAUGGAGAGGCCAGGUGCAGUGGCUCAGACUCAUAAUCCCAGCGUUAUGGGAGGCUGAGGCAGGAGGACUGAGACCAGGGGUUUGAGACCAGCCAGGGCAACACAGUGAGACCUCAUUUCUACCAAAAAAUGUUUAAAAAUUAGCUCGGCAUGGGCCGGACGUGGUGGCUCACACCUAUAAUCCCAACACUUUAGGAAGCCAAGGGGGUGGAUUGCUUGAAUCCAGGAGUUCAAGACCAGCAAGAGUUCAAGACCAGCCUGGGCAACAUGGUGAAACCCCAUCUCUACUAAAAAUACAAAAAUUAGCCAGGUGUGGUGGCGUGCGUGCCGACAGUUCCAGCUACAUGGGGGAGCUGAGGCUGGAGGAUCACUUGAGCCCAGGAGGCUGAGGCUGAAAUGAGUCGAGAUCACGCCACUGCACAACAACUUGGAUGACAGAAUGAGACCCUGUUUCAAAAGGGGGGAAAAAAUGGAUAGAGUGAGGUGUGCCACUUGCAGGCCUGAACUCUAAGACCACCCUCGUAUUCUCUGUGAUUUCUUCCCUCAACUCCUGACCAGAUGCAGAGCAUCCCGCAGAAGUGGCUUGGAUCCCUGAACCCCCUUGUGGAAGGCCACCCGCAAACCCUUGACUGCUCUGUGACAGGAGCAAGAAACAACUUUAUUGCUUGGAGCCUAAGAUUUGGGGUUGGUGGGUGCAGCAGUUAGACAACCCUAAUACAGGCCACUAAACGCUUAGUCUGUCCCCAGAAGGACCCGUAACAUGUUCCUCGUUCCCUAAGACGUGUCUCCAGUAGAGACUACGGCUUGCCCUUCUCUCUCUGGUGAAGGCUGCACAGGUCAAGGAGCAGGAUGGGUGUUUCCGUCCCUGAUGGCCGCCUCCACUCAGGGAAGCGCCCUGCUCCUGUGAGCCUCAUGACAGUUUUCUGGGUCACCUCCAGCCUUCCUAGUGGCUGUUCUCUCCCCAAGAUGCCUUCGUCCCUUUUCUUGCAGAGUUCUCCUAUAUUCCAGGUCCUUCCGUUGUCCUGAGUGACCCUGGCAUCCCUGUGAAUGACUGGUGCGUUGCUUUGACCUACCCCCCCAUGACUGUGAUCUGAAGAUUCUCACCUCCACUCCACUCGAGUCACCCAUGGCCUGGCCUGGCCCAGCCCUGGCACCCCCUGGACUGCUGCACCUCUGAUCCUACAGGCAUAGGCAGCCCUUGAAGCCCACCGCUGGCUCUCCUUGUAGCUUCUCACCCUCUUGUCCCUACCACAUGGUCCUCUGAGUCCCAACUGCACCGAGGGUCCUGAGGGUCCUUCUGCCUCACCCACCUAUCUUGGAUCCUUGGUUUUUACUCUGUCCAGCUCAGAUCCCAAAGAUGCCGACCAAGCCCUUGCCUGAGAGCCUCCCACCACCCCUGCACUGGGGCCGUGCCCUGGGCGGAUCUGGCUUUCUGUCUCCUCCAUCAUGCUGAGCACACAUUUGCUCAUCUAUUUCCUUUAAACUCAUGACUACGCCCCUUCUCCGUGGGCUCCUGCGCUGCACAGCAGCCUCCUCAUCUCCCACUUCCUUGAGUAUUUCCUGUUCCUCCUCUCUUCUUGGUGGGUCACACAGAUGCCUGC
RNAcentral lists this long non-coding RNA (2161 nucleotides) under Macaca fascicularis (crab-eating macaque). Its description in RNAcentral is "lncRNA (ENSMFAG00000064971.1)". The record is from RNAcentral. Lineage: Eukaryota; Metazoa; Chordata; Mammalia; Primates; Cercopithecidae.